Molecule: small nuclear RNA, 198 nt
Filed under: Macleaya cordata
Lineage: Eukaryota; Viridiplantae; Streptophyta; Magnoliopsida; Ranunculales; Papaveraceae
Description: U2 spliceosomal RNA
Rfam family: U2 spliceosomal RNA
About the family: U2 is a small nuclear RNA (snRNA) component of the spliceosome (involved in pre-mRNA splicing).
Source: Rfam by way of RNAcentral
AUACCUUUCUCGGCCUUUUGGCUAAGAUCAAGUGUAGUAUCUGUUCUUAUCAGUUUAAUAUCUAAUACGUGGACCAUCGGUCCACAUGAUAUUAAAUUAAUUUUUUUCUUGGGGGAGGGCCGAUAACAAUAGCUUGCUAUUGGGGUCUUCAUGCAUCGCCCAUGCGUUGCACUACUGCAAGGGCCUGGCGCACCCCUA